Molecule: non-coding RNA, 647 nt
Organism: Odocoileus virginianus texanus
Lineage: Eukaryota; Metazoa; Chordata; Mammalia; Artiodactyla; Cervidae
Source: RefSeq, a predicted model, not a curated record
GGAGUCCUUCCUCCCCAACUGGACAUAAGCUGGGUCAGAAUUCACUGGGCAUCUGUUGACUUUUCUACAACAGUGAAGAUAAUUCCAAAGGACUGGCUCUCCAGGUAACUUUUAAGAUGGUAUCUGUCUCCCUUCAACAUUUACCAUCAUCAUAUCUGCCAACAAUAAAGGCCUCAUUCUGAAUGCCCUCAGUUCUGCUAGAAUGAAAUUCUCUUUCCUCUUUGGGAAUUCCUUCAGAUUCUGGAAGCUUUCCUGCAUCAAUAAAAGUCUCCACCCGAAAUAUACCUAAAGGCCCAAUGCUCGCCAAGAUACAUGCUACUUCGCAAGACUGGAAACAAAUUCCAAAACCUUUUAAGUUCUCUCCUCACUGGCUCCACCAAACUUUUUAUUUUCUGGUGCUCUGGAUUGCUGAGAAUGGAGCUUUGUCAAGUUGUAUAAGCCCUCAAGACACUUGCAAAGAAACUGAAUAUUUUAACUAGCUAGACUAACCCCGCAGCCUCUCAGAUCUACCCAGUUCAGAAGUUACAGUGGAGAAUCUGACCAGUGGCAAUUUCCACUAAGAUGGGUUUACAUAUGGGUUUCCUGUGACCUACCUACUCCACCCUCAACCACACGAAAGGCAUUUGAGGACAGGACCCACAUCAUUU